This 253-nucleotide ribosomal RNA is filed under the name uncultured bacterium. RNAcentral describes it as "partial 16S ribosomal RNA". It matches the Rfam family "Bacterial small subunit ribosomal RNA", at positions 524 to 776 of the family's 1533-position model. The record is from RNAcentral.
UACAGAGGUGGCAAGCGUUGUUCGGAAUUAUUGGGCGUAAAGAGCUCGUAGGCGGUUUGUCGCGUCUGCUGUGAAAACUCGGGGCUUAACUCCGGGCCUGCAGUGGGUACGGGCAGACUAGAGUGCGGUAGGGGAGACUGGAAUUCCUGGUGUAGCGGUGAAAUGCGCAGAUAUCAGGAGGAACACCGGUGGCGAAGGCGGGUCUCUGGGCCGUAACUGACGCUGAGGAGCGAAAGCGUGGGGAGCGAACAGG